This 394-nucleotide ribosomal RNA is filed under the name uncultured bacterium. RNAcentral describes it as "partial 16S ribosomal RNA". It matches the Rfam family "Bacterial small subunit ribosomal RNA", at positions 523 to 918 of the family's 1533-position model. The record is from RNAcentral.
AUACGUAGGGAGCGAGCGUUGUCCGGAAUUACUGGGUGUAAAGGGAGCGUAGGCGGGAAGGCAAGUUGGAUGUGAAAACUGUGGGCUCAACCGACAGACUGCAUUCAAAACUGUUUUUCUUGAGUGAAGUAGAGGCAAGCGGAAUUCCUAGUGUAGCGGUGAAAUGCGUAGAUAUUAGGAGGAACACCAGUGGCGAAGGCGGCUUGCUGGGCUUUUACUGACGCUGAGGCUCGAAAGUGUGGGGAGCAAACAGGAUUAGAUACCCUGGUAGUCCACACCGUAAACGAUGAUUACUAGGUGUGGGGGCGUCAAGCUUCCGUGCCGGAGUUAACACAAUAAGCAUUCCGCCUGGGGAGUACGGCCGCAAGGUUGAAACUCAAAGGAAUUGACGGGG